Non-coding RNA from Triticum aestivum (bread wheat), 119 nucleotides. The record is from Rfam. NCBI's taxonomy places the organism in Eukaryota, Viridiplantae, Streptophyta, Magnoliopsida, Poales, Poaceae.
GGAUGCGAUCAUACCAGCACUAAAGCACCGGAUCCCAUCAGAACUCCGGAUUUAAGCGUGCUUUGGCUAGAGUAGUACUAGGAUGGGUGACCUCCUGGGAAGUCCUCAUGUUGCAUUCC